UACGUAGGGGGCAAGCGUUGUCCGGAUUUAUUGGGCGUAAAGAGCGUGUAGGCGGCUUGGUAGGUCCGCUGUGAAAACUCGAGGCUCAACCUCGAGAUGUCGGCGGAAACCACUUGGCUAGAGUCCGGAAGAGGAGAGUGGAAUUCCUGGUGUAGCGGUGAAAUGCGCAGAUAUCAGGAAGAACACCUAUGGCGAAGGCAGCUCUCUGGGACGGUACUGACGCUGAGACGCGAAGGCGUGGGGAGCGAACAGG
This 253-nucleotide ribosomal RNA is filed under the name uncultured bacterium. RNAcentral's name for it is "partial 16S ribosomal RNA". It matches the Rfam family "Bacterial small subunit ribosomal RNA", at positions 524 to 776 of the family's 1533-position model. The record is from RNAcentral.